GAGAUAGCUGGUUCUCCCCGAAAGCUAUUUAGGUAGCGCCUCGGACGAAUACCACUGGGGGUAGAGCACUGUUUCGGCUAGGGGGUCAUCCCGACUUACCAAACCGAUGCAAACUCCGAAUACCAGUGAGUACUAUCCGGGAGACACACGGCGGGUGCUAACGUCCGUCGUGAAGAGGGAAACAACCCAGACCGCCAGCUAAGGUCCCCAAAUUCCAGUUAAGUGGGAAACGAUGUGGGAAGGCUCAGACAGCUAGGAGGUUGGCUUAGAAGCAGCCACCCUUUAAAGAAAGCGUAAUAGCUCACUAGUCGAGUCGGCCUGCGCGGAAGAUGUAACGGGGCUCAAACUGGAUACCGAAGCUGCGGCAGCAGACUUGUUCUGCUGGGUAGGGGAGCGUUGUGUAAGCCUGUGAAGGUGUGUUGAGAAGCAUGCUGGAGGUAUCACAAGUGCGAAUGCUGACGUGAGUAACGAUAAUGGGGGUGAAAAACCCCCACGCCGAAAGACCAAGGUUUCCUGCGCAACGCUAAUCGGCGCAGGGUGAGUCGGCCCCUAAGGC
Molecule: ribosomal RNA, 556 nt
Filed under: Alcanivorax sp. HI0013
Lineage: Bacteria; Pseudomonadati; Pseudomonadota; Gammaproteobacteria; Oceanospirillales; Alcanivoracaceae
Description: bacterial LSU rRNA
Rfam family: Bacterial large subunit ribosomal RNA
Source: RNAcentral